CCUACGGGAGGCAGCAGUGAGGAAUAUUGGUCAAUGGGCGAGAGCCUGAACCAGCCAUCCCGCGUGCAGGAUGACGGCCCUAUGGGUUGUAAACUGCUUUUCUACGCCAAGAAACGCCCUUACGUGUAAGGGACUGACGGUAGCGUAGGAAUAAGCAUCGGCUAACUCCGUGCCAGCAGCCGCGGUAAUACGGAGGAUGCAAGCGUUAUCCGGAUUCAUUGGGUUUAAAGGGUGCGCAGGCGGGGAUGUAAGUCAGUGGUGAAAAACUGCUGCUCAACGGUAGUCGUGCCAUUGAUACUGCAUCUCUUGAGUUUGGAUGAGGUAGGCGGAAUGUGCAGUGUAGCGGUGAAAUGCAUAGAGAUUGCACAGAACACCAAUUGCGAAGGCAGCUUACUAAUCCACGACUGACGCUGAGGCACGAAAGCGUGGGGAGCGAACAGGAUUAGAUACCCUGGUAGUCCACGCCGUAAACGAUGUUCACUCGCUGUUUGCGAUACACAGUAAGCGGCUUAGCGAAAGCAUUAAGUGAACCACCUGGGGAGUACGAUCGCAAGGUUGAAACUCAAAGGAAUGA
This 574-nucleotide ribosomal RNA is filed under the name uncultured Bacteroidota bacterium. Its description in RNAcentral is "bacterial SSU rRNA". It matches the Rfam family "Bacterial small subunit ribosomal RNA", at positions 338 to 912 of the family's 1533-position model. The record is from RNAcentral. Lineage: Bacteria; Pseudomonadati; Bacteroidota.